RNAcentral lists this ribosomal RNA (315 nucleotides) under Triticum aestivum (bread wheat). Its description in RNAcentral is "partial small subunit ribosomal RNA". The record is from RNAcentral. Lineage: Eukaryota; Viridiplantae; Streptophyta; Magnoliopsida; Poales; Poaceae.
ACCUGCAUCUGCGCGGCCACCGUGGCCUGCCGCUCGGCGGCCUUCUACUCCAUGCCCUCCGUCGGCCGCUCCACCGCCCGCCACGCCCCGUACAUCUCCACGGCGCCGCUGGAGCUGGGGUGCUGCGCGGGAAUGUCAUUGUUGCUGCUGCAGAACACGGUGACCGCGGCGAGGCUGACUUCGUUUCUUAGCACGGUGUCCCGGAGCUCCUGCCCUCUCUCUCAGGGUAUCUGUCUUUUCGGUUUGGGCGAGAACUGCGCCCGUGCAUACCUUCCUUUUUUUUUCUCGCGUCAAUGGUUUAGUUGCCUGCUUUAG